GAUGGACGCUGGCGGCGUGCCUAAUACAUGCAAGUCGAGCGAACGGACGAGAAGCUUGCUUCUCUGAUGUUAGCGGCGGACGGGUGAGUAACACGUGGAUAACCUACCUAUAAGUCGGGGAUAACUACGGGAAACCGUAGAUAAUACCGGAUAAUAUUCUGAACCGUGUGGUUCAUAAGAGAAUGACGGCCUUGCUGUCUCUUAUAGCUGGAUCCGCGCUGCAUUAGCUAGUUGGUAAGGUAACGGCUUACCAAGGCAACGAUGCAUAGCCGACCUGAGAGGGUGAUCGGCCACACUGGAACUGAGACACGGUCCAGACUCCUACGGGAGGCAGCAGUAGGGAAUCUUCCGCAAUGGGCGAAAGCCUGACGGAGCAACGCCGCGUGAGUGAUGAAGGUCUUCGGAUCGUAAAACUCUGUUAUUAGGGAAGAACAUAUGUGUAAGUAACUGUGCACAUCUUGACGGUACCUAAUCAGAAAGCCACGGCUAACUACGUG
Molecule: ribosomal RNA, 497 nt
Filed under: uncultured bacterium
Lineage: Bacteria
Description: partial 16S ribosomal RNA
Rfam family: Bacterial small subunit ribosomal RNA
Source: RNAcentral